GACGACUUAAAUACGCGACGGGGCAUUGUAAGUGGCAGAGUGGCCUGGCUGCCACGAUCCACUGAGAUCCAGCCCCACGUCGCACGGAUUCGU
This 93-nucleotide ribosomal RNA is filed under the name Avena sativa (oats). RNAcentral describes it as "partial 25S ribosomal RNA". It matches the Rfam family "Eukaryotic large subunit ribosomal RNA", at positions 3310 to 3401 of the family's 3401-position model. Lineage: Eukaryota; Viridiplantae; Streptophyta; Magnoliopsida; Poales; Poaceae. The record is from RNAcentral.